Molecule: ribosomal RNA, 224 nt
Filed under: uncultured bacterium
Lineage: Bacteria
Description: partial 16S ribosomal RNA
Rfam family: Bacterial small subunit ribosomal RNA
Source: RNAcentral
GAUCAUGGCUCAGGAUGAACGCUAGCUACAGGCUUAACACAUGCAAGUCGAGGGACAGCAUGGUCUUAGCUUGCUAAGGCCGAUGGCGACCGGCGCACGGGUGAGUAACACGUAUCCAACCUGCCGUUUACUCUUGGACAGCCUUCUGAAAGGAAGAUUAAUACAAGAUGGCAUCAUGAGUCCGCAUGUUCACAUGAUUAAAGGUAUUCCGGUAGACGAUGGGG